UAGGGAAUUUUGCGCAAUGGGGGAAACCCUGACGCAGCAACGCCGCGUGACCGAUGAAGCCCUUCGGGGUGUAAAGGUCUGUCAGUGGGGACGAAAAAUGACGGUACCCACAGAGGAAGCAUCGGCUAACUCCGUGCCAGCAGCCGCGGUAAUACGGGGGAUGCAAGCGUUGUCCGGAAUCAUUGGGCGUAAAGAGUUCGUAGGUGGUUUGUUAAGUCUGGUGUUAAAGUCAGAGGCUCAACUUCUGUUCGGCACUGGAUACUGGCAGACUUGAAUGCGGUAGAGGUAAAGGGAAUUCCUGGUGUAGCGGUGAAAUGCGUAGAUAUCAGGAGGAACAUCGGAGGCGAAAGCGCUUUACUGGGCCGUAAUUGACACUGAGGAACGAAAGCCAGGGUAGCAAAUGGG
RNAcentral lists this ribosomal RNA (405 nucleotides) under uncultured bacterium. RNAcentral's name for it is "bacterial SSU rRNA". It matches the Rfam family "Bacterial small subunit ribosomal RNA", at positions 355 to 776 of the family's 1533-position model. The record is from RNAcentral.